GCUACACACGUGCUACAAUGGCGCAUACAAGAGAGCGACCUCGCGAGAGCAGCGGACCUCAUAAGUGCGUCGUAGUCCGGAUUGGAGUCUGCAACUCGACUCCAUGAAGUCGGAAUCGCUAGUAAUCGUGGAUCAGAAUGCCACGGUGAAUACGUUCCCGGGCCUUGUACACACCGCCCGUCACACCAUGGGAGUGGGUUGCAAAAGAAGUAGGUAGCUUAACCUUCGGGAGGGCGCUUACCACUUUGUGAUUCAUGACUGGGGUGAAGUCGUAACAAGGUAACCGUAGGGGAACCUGCGGUUGGAUCACCUCCUUACCUUAAAGAAGC
RNAcentral lists this ribosomal RNA (329 nucleotides) under Escherichia sp. E4702. RNAcentral describes it as "bacterial SSU rRNA". It matches the Rfam family "Bacterial small subunit ribosomal RNA", at positions 1213 to 1533 of the family's 1533-position model. The record is from RNAcentral. Lineage: Bacteria; Pseudomonadati; Pseudomonadota; Gammaproteobacteria; Enterobacterales; Enterobacteriaceae.